Non-coding RNA from Rattus norvegicus (Norway rat), 684 nucleotides. NCBI's taxonomy places the organism in Eukaryota, Metazoa, Chordata, Mammalia, Rodentia, Muridae. The record is from RefSeq and is a predicted model, not a curated record.
UCUACACAGAGCUGGGAUCGCACGCAAGGCUUCAGGCACGCGAGGCAAUCACUCCAUCAACUGAGUUACGCCUGCAGCUGUGGAGGUUUGAAUAAGAAACGACCCCCAGAGGUUCAGGCAUUUGAACUCUUGGUCACCACCUUGGCCUGUUCUUUGGUAGAAGCCAGGGAACCCUUAGGAGAAGCUAUGGAAUGUUUAGAGGGCGUGACCUAGUCUCACUUCCGGUCUGCUCUCUGCUUCCGGUUUGCGGUCGGAGAUGCGAUCUCUCCAGUGCUGUGCCUCCCACGCCGUGAUGGGCCACCUCAAACUUUCUGACAACAGAGCUGGGAAAUUCUAAGAAGUUAUUCUACCAUUAAACCUCAGGUGUCUCGAUGAUGAUGAUGACGAUGAUGACAGUGAUGACGACGAUGACUCAAGAGGUUGGAGAGAGAGCCCAGAAGUUAGGAGCAAUUGGUUGUUUGUGCAGAGAACCUGAGUUCAAUUCCCAGGACCCACAUGGCAACUCAUAACCAACUAUAACUCCACUUUCAUGGGAUCUGGUGCUCUCUUCCGGUCUCAGCAGGAAUCAGACGUUGUGCACAGACAUACAUGUGAGCAAACACUCAUAGACACGGAGUAAAUAAAUCUAAAAAAAAGUUAAUUAAUGAAAAACCAAUGGUUAAUUAAAAAGUCAACUUAAACUCA